This 362-nucleotide RNase P RNA is filed under the name Planctomycetota bacterium. RNAcentral describes it as "RNase P RNA component class A". It matches the Rfam family "Bacterial RNase P class A". From Rfam's summary of the family: Ribonuclease P (RNase P) is a ubiquitous endoribonuclease, found in archaea, bacteria and eukarya as well as chloroplasts and mitochondria. Its best characterised activity is the generation of mature 5'-ends of tRNAs by cleaving the 5'-leader elements of precursor-tRNAs. Lineage: Bacteria; Pseudomonadati; Planctomycetota. The record is from RNAcentral.
GUCAGUAGAGGACGCGAUCGCGACCCGGCGACGGGCCGAGGAAAGUCCGGACUCCACAGGGUACUGUGGUGGGUAACGCCCACCGGGAGUGAUCCCAGGGAAAGUGCCACAGAAAACAUACCGCCUGUGCCGCCCCGUGCGGCGCCGGUAAGGGUGAAAAGGCGAGGUAAGAGCUCACCGCAAGGAUGGUGACAUCCUUGGCAUGGCAAACCCCACACGGAGCAAGACCAAAUAGGGGAGGAGAGGCGGCCCGUCUCGCGUGGGCUUCGGCCCACACACUCCCGGGUAGGUCGCACAGAUGAAUGAUCGCGGGGAGGACCCGGUCCACCCAACAGAAUCCGGCUUACGAUCUACUGGCGAAC